Vombatus ursinus (common wombat) is the source of this 102-nucleotide microRNA precursor. The record is from Ensembl. Lineage: Eukaryota; Metazoa; Chordata; Mammalia; Diprotodontia; Vombatidae.
GUAAGAAAUAGUGUACAGGAAAAUGACCUAUGAAUUAACAGAUAGUAUACUUAAGUUUGUCUGUCAUUUCUGUAGGCCAAUGUUCUGUAUGUCUGCGCUGCU